CGGACGGGUGAGUAACGCGUGGGUAACCUGCCUCAUACAGGGGGAUAACAGUUAGAGAUGACUGCUAAUACCGCAUAAGACCACAGCACCGCAUGGUGCAGGGGUAAAAACUCCGGUGGUAUGAGAUGGACCCGCGUCUGAUUAGGUAGUUGGUGGGGUAACGGCCUACCAAGCCGACGAUCAGUAGCCGACCUGAGAGGGUGACCGGCCACAUUGGGACUGAGACACGGCCCAA
RNAcentral lists this ribosomal RNA (235 nucleotides) under uncultured bacterium. RNAcentral describes it as "partial 16S ribosomal RNA". It matches the Rfam family "Bacterial small subunit ribosomal RNA", at positions 99 to 334 of the family's 1533-position model. The record is from RNAcentral.